GUGAAGCGGCAAGAGCUCAGAUUUGAAAUCUUUUUUUGGCACGAGUUGUAGAGUGUAGGCGGGAGUCUUUGUGGAGCACGGUGUCCAAGUCCCUUGGAACAGGGCGCCUGAGAGGGUGAGAGCCCCGUGGGGUGCCGUGCGAAGCUCUGAGGCCCUGCUGACGAGUCGAGUUGUUUGGGAAUGCAGCUCCAAGUGGGUGGUAAAUUCCAUCUAAGGCUAAAUACUGGCGAGAGACCGAUAGCGAACAAGUACUGUGAAGGAAAGAUGAAAAGCACUUUGAAAAGAGAGUGAAACAGCACGUGAAAUUGUUGAAAGGGAAGGGUAUUGGGCCCGACAUGGGGAGUGCGCACCGCUGUCUCUUGUAGGCGGCGCUCUGGGCGCUCUCUGGGCCAGCAUCGGUUCUUGCUGCGGGAGAAUGGGUGCCGGAAAGUGGCUCUUCGGAGUGUUAUAGCCGGCGCCAGAUACCGCGUGCGGGGACCGAGGACUGCGGCUUCUGUCUCGGAUGCUGGCACAACGGCGCAAUACCGCCCG
RNAcentral lists this ribosomal RNA (531 nucleotides) under Pichia membranifaciens. RNAcentral describes it as "eukaryotic LSU rRNA". It matches the Rfam family "Eukaryotic large subunit ribosomal RNA", at positions 93 to 651 of the family's 3401-position model. The record is from RNAcentral. Lineage: Eukaryota; Fungi; Ascomycota; Pichiomycetes; Pichiales; Pichiaceae.